UGGGGAAUAUUGGACAAUGGGGGGAACCCUGAUCCAGCCAUGCCGCGUGUGUGAAGAAGGCCUUAUGGUUGUAAAGCACUUUAAGCGAGGAGGAGGGUACUGGUAUUAAUACUACCAGGUACUGGACGUUACUCGCAGAAUAAGCACCGGCUAACUCUGUGCCAGCAGCCGCGGUAAUACAGAGGGUGCGAGCGUUAAUCGGAUUUACUGGGCGUAAAGCGUGCGUAGGCGGCUAAUUGAGUCGGAUGUGAAAUCCCUGAGCUUAACUUGGGAAUUGCAUUCGAUACUGGUUAGCUAGAGUGUGGGAGAGGAUGGUAGAAUUCCAGGUGUAGCGGUGAAAUGCGUAGAGAUCUGGAGGAAUACCGAUGGCGAAGGCAGCCAUCUGGCCUAACACUGACGCUGAGGUACGAAAGCAUGGGGAGCAAACAGG
This 430-nucleotide ribosomal RNA is filed under the name Pseudomonadota bacterium. Its description in RNAcentral is "Proteobacteria bacterium partial 16S ribosomal RNA". It matches the Rfam family "Bacterial small subunit ribosomal RNA", at positions 355 to 776 of the family's 1533-position model. Lineage: Bacteria; Pseudomonadati; Pseudomonadota. The record is from RNAcentral.